CCCGAGCCGAACCGAUUAACCCUUAGAAAAAUAAUAAAUUAAUAAUAAUUGGGCUUUCCAUAAUUUUUUGAUUUUUUAUAUGUUAAUUACUUAAUUUCUUUGGCCCAAAAUUUCUGGCCUGUUAACAAAUUAAAUUUACACCCAAGUACCCAUUACCCAACUUUGAACCCCAACAGUCUAACACAAAGGCACAAACAUUUUAUUGGAAAAUUGGAAUCUCAGCUUCUGCAUUUUGGGUCUGUCGAGUACCGACUGUCGUCUCAUCCUCCUCUGCCCGUUUGCAAUAUUUUCUUCUCCUUCGACCUUUAGGCUUCUACCACUGGUGAGCUUCUCAUUUUCUCUUUUGAUAAUUUGUAUUUGUCUAUUUGAAUUUGUUGUGAAUUUCGUACAAGAUUUGGCCAAAAUAUAUCCAAAAUUUUCAAUUUUUUUACAAUUGGUGGCUGUUUUAGAGAUAAAUGACUUUAAUUUCUUCCACUUUGAUGACUUUUGGCCGAAACAAUACAUAAACAAGAAAUUAAAUUCUUUAAUUAUAGAAAUCAAACCCUAAGUGGAUAUUUGGCGUUAAAAAUUCUGAAAGGUGAAAAAGAACAAGAAUGGAGAAAUAAAUGGGAAAGAGCAAAUGGAGAAAAUGUGUGAUGUACACAUGUGCAAUGAAUGGGUUACCUGUAUAGCCGGGAAAUACUGUAGUUGAAGCGUUCUCUUUGGCCCGUUAUUGAAUAUUGUUUGUUAAAUUUGGAUUGUGUAUUUGAGAAUUAGGAUAUUUUUUUGCAUUUUCAUUUGGGAUGUUGUUUACUGCAUUGACUUUUUUCAUACAUUUUUCUUUUUAAUUCGACAUAUAGACCAAUUAAAAAUAAUUUAUUUUUGUGGUUAUUAACGAC
Molecule: long non-coding RNA, 878 nt
Filed under: Olea europaea subsp. europaea
Lineage: Eukaryota; Viridiplantae; Streptophyta; Magnoliopsida; Lamiales; Oleaceae
Source: RNAcentral